Molecule: long non-coding RNA, 493 nt
Organism: Mirounga angustirostris (Northern elephant seal)
Lineage: Eukaryota; Metazoa; Chordata; Mammalia; Carnivora; Phocidae
Exons: 3
Source: RefSeq, a predicted model, not a curated record
AGCUUCGGCGGGCAAGGCGGCGGGGAAGCCGCGGAACCUCCCGGCCAAUCGUCAGAAGGUCAGUAGUAGCCUCACGCUGCGCGCUGCGUCUGAAGGCGUCGCCCUUCACGUCACUUCAUCUCACGUAGGCGUUUUAUUCUCUGGCGUUCGGAGGGGGACAGGUGAUCCAAAGCCAGGCAUGAACGUUAGUCAACCAGCACCUCUGCUUUGGCUUCCUCAUCCGGUCGAGUCCAGGAGCUUGCUGCAGUCACUAGGAAUAUGACUAAGAAGACCCUCCGAUUUGGAGCUUUGUGGCGCAUGAGAUGACAGGUCUGCAAUGAUGGUGCUACCAACACUGCAAGGAGGACCCCCUGCCCCUUCUACCAUAUGAAGACACAGGGAGAAGAUCAUCUUUGGAACUGAAGAGGGCUCUCAUCAGACACUGAACCUGCCGGUGCCUUAAUCUUGGACUUCCAGCCUCCAGAACUGUGAGAAAUAAAUACCUAUUGUUUAU